RNAcentral lists this unclassified non-coding RNA (240 nucleotides) under Hevea brasiliensis (rubber tree). The record is from RNAcentral. Lineage: Eukaryota; Viridiplantae; Streptophyta; Magnoliopsida; Malpighiales; Euphorbiaceae.
GAGAGCAUUAUGCCAUUCAGGGGUUGGUAUUUGGAAGAAUGCAUAGCUCCUCUUGUUGAUAUCUAUCCUGUCGGUUGACAUCAGAUUUAAAAUCAAUAAAUUUUCCAUAUGCAAUAUUACAAAUUACAAAGACCUUAUAGGGGUUGGUACUUGGAAGCAUGCAUAGCUCAUCUUAUUGAUAUCUAUCCUGCUGCUUGACGUAGGAUUUAAAACCAAUAAAAUUUUUGUAAACAAUAUUAC